RNAcentral lists this ribosomal RNA (590 nucleotides) under uncultured Burkholderia sp. RNAcentral's name for it is "bacterial SSU rRNA". It matches the Rfam family "Bacterial small subunit ribosomal RNA", at positions 418 to 1003 of the family's 1533-position model. The record is from RNAcentral. Lineage: Bacteria; Pseudomonadati; Pseudomonadota; Betaproteobacteria; Burkholderiales; Burkholderiaceae.
UCGGGUUGUAAAGCACUUUUGUCCGGAAAGAAAACCUUUGGGCUAAUACCCUGAGGGGAUGACGGUACCGGAAGAAUAAGCACCGGCUAACUACGUGCCAGCAGCGCGGUAAUCGUAGGGUGCGAGCGUUAAUCGGAAUUACUGGGCGUAAAGCGUGCGCAGGCGGUUCGUUAAGACAGAUGUGAAAUCCCCGGGCUUAACCUGGGAACUGCAUUUGUGACUGGCGAGCUAGAGUAUGGCAGAGGGGGGUAGAAUUCCACGUGUAGCAGUGAAAUGCGUAGAGAUGUGGAGGAAUACCGAUGGCGAAGGCAGCCCCCUGGGCCAAUACUGACGCUCAUGCACGAAAGCGUGGGGAGCAAACAGGAUUAGAUACCCUGGUAGUCCACGCCCUAAACGAUGUCAACUAGUUGUUGGGUCUUCAUUGACUUAGUAACGUAGCUAACGCGUGAAGUUGACCGCCUGGGGAGUACGGUCGCAAGAUUAAAACUCAAAGGAAUUGACGGGGACCCGCACAAGCGGUGGAUGAUGUGGAUUAAUUCGAUGCAACGCGAAAAACCUUACCUACCCUUGACAUGGUCGGAACCCUGCUG